AUGUGGACCAUUGAUGCGCAACUGAUUCUUUCAAUCCCAAUUUCGCAACAUAAUAUGACAGAUUUUAUUGCCUGGAGUUAUACGAAAAAUGGUAUGUUUUCGGUACGGUCUGCUUACUCCAUGGAGUGGAACUAUCAGUAUGGGAGCAAACUUAAAUAUUCCAACGGGAUUGGACGGAGCAUAUACCCUAUAUGGUGUCAGAUAUGGAAGUUAUCUUGUCCGGCUAAAGUCAAAAAAAAUUUAUGGCGGACACUACAUGGCACUCUUCCAUGUCGGGCAACACUCAUUAAUAGACACAUGAAGAUCUCGCCCUCUUGCCCUACAUGCGCUCAGGGUGUAGAAGAUACGAAGCACUUGCUUUUCCUAUGUAAAAAAGCCAAGGAGGUUUGGAAAAGGCUAGGGUUGGAUAUGAUUAUUGAGAGAGCUUGUGAGAUUGAUCGUGCUGGAGAGGCAACAUUGGAAUACCUAUUACUCCUUCCAGAUCAAGACCUACGCAUUAUGGGGUACGAAAAUGUUCAAGAAAUGAUAGCAAUCUCAGCUUGGUAUCUAUGGUGGGAAAGACGAAAAUUAGUGCACAAGGAGUUAACUCAAAAUGCGACUCAGAUCUCAAUGGGGAUCAUAGCUCUUACAUAUAAUUUUGUAAAUGCAUCAUCUUUAAAGGCUUGCAUCAAAAAGGGGGUUGGUAAUGUCCUUCUAGGGGCUUUGCGAGACUAA
RNAcentral lists this ribosomal RNA (714 nucleotides) under Triticum aestivum (bread wheat). RNAcentral's name for it is "partial small subunit ribosomal RNA". Lineage: Eukaryota; Viridiplantae; Streptophyta; Magnoliopsida; Poales; Poaceae. The record is from RNAcentral.